GUGCGGGAAGGUGGCAGGCACCUCUGUGGAUGGGGGAGCUUUGCGGAAACCACAGAAAGGGUUGAAAUCUUGUUUGUAAGAUGGCGUGAUGCCUGCGGAGCCCAAACUGGGUGCCAAGCAGAGCAGGUGGUGGGUCGGCUGUGGCCCCAGAGGCUGAGAGCAGGUGGGUUUUAUGCUGACUGGCAUGGGCA
RNAcentral lists this long non-coding RNA (191 nucleotides) under Mustela putorius furo (domestic ferret). Its description in RNAcentral is "lncRNA (ENSMPUG00000027203.1)". Lineage: Eukaryota; Metazoa; Chordata; Mammalia; Carnivora; Mustelidae. The record is from RNAcentral.